UACGUAGGGUGCGAGCGUUAAUCGGAAUUACUGGGCGUAAAGCGUGCGCAGGCGGUGAUGUAAGACAGGUGUGAAAUCCCCGGGCUUAACCUGGGAACUGCAUUUGUGACUGCAUCGCUGGAGUGCGGCAGAGGGGGAUGGAAUUCCGCGUGUAGCAGUGAAAUGCGUAGAUAUGCGGAGGAACACCGAUGGCGAAGGCAAUCCCCUGGGCCUGCACUGACGCUCAUCCACGAAAGCGUGGGGAGCAAACAGG
RNAcentral lists this ribosomal RNA (253 nucleotides) under uncultured bacterium. RNAcentral describes it as "partial 16S ribosomal RNA". It matches the Rfam family "Bacterial small subunit ribosomal RNA", at positions 524 to 776 of the family's 1533-position model. The record is from RNAcentral.